CAGUAGCCGCGGUAAUACGUAGGGUGCAAGCGUUAAUCGGAAUUACUGGGCGUAAAGCGUGCACAGGCGGUUCGCUAAGACAGAUGUGAAAUCCCCGGGCUUAACCUGGGAACUGCAUUUGUGACUGGCGGGCUAGAGUAUGGCAGAGGGGGGUAGAAUUCCACGUGUAGCAGUGAAAUGCGUAGAGAUGUGGAGGAAUACCGAUGGCGAAGGCAGCCCCCUGGGCCAAUACUGACGCUCAUGCACGAAAGCGUGGGGAGCAAACAGGAUUAGAUACCCGAGUAGUCCCUGUCUCUUAUAC
RNAcentral lists this ribosomal RNA (301 nucleotides) under uncultured bacterium. RNAcentral describes it as "partial 16S ribosomal RNA". It matches the Rfam family "Bacterial small subunit ribosomal RNA", at positions 509 to 807 of the family's 1533-position model. The record is from RNAcentral.